Molecule: RNA transcript, 2435 nt
Organism: Alnus glutinosa
Lineage: Eukaryota; Viridiplantae; Streptophyta; Magnoliopsida; Fagales; Betulaceae
Gene name: protein ENDOSPERM DEFECTIVE 1
Exons: 7
Source: RefSeq, a predicted model, not a curated record
UCCUGAUCCGGUCACACACAUCAGUCUCUUUCUUCCCUGAUCCGGUCACAAACAUCAGACGUCAACACAGUUCAAGGGGUUGGGAUAUCUGCCAUCUGAAUCUAUCUCAAUUCAGGGGUUUGGCUUUCCGAUCCGUUCAUUCAUUUAAUCAUAGUAUAUACUAGUGUGCUUUUGGUGGGAUUCAGCAAAUUGACAGAUCAAGAUCGAUCAAUUUGCCUCGGCGAAUAUGAACGAUUUGGUUGCAGACAAGUCCACCACGACGAUGGAGGGAGCGGCGGUAGUUUCUCCUCCUCCUCCCCCUCCUCCUCCGCCACCAUCUCUUAGGCGGCCGAGGGUGAGGGAGGUGAGCUCUAGGUUCAUGUCUCCUCUCAUUUCAUCGCCACUUGCUAAGCAGCAGCGCUCAACCUCCGUGCAUAGGCAGCGGCACAUGGAGCCCUUGUUCUCUUCCGAUGAGAACAGGCCCACCGAGUCCAUUCAGAUUCAGAGCCUGGAAACUUUGCCCCCUUUGGGAUCUCGUUGUAAAGCUGCUCUGACCUCUGCUACUACUCAGAGAAAACAGCGUGCUGUAGCCAAGCUUUUCAAAGAAAACGCAGGAAAAAUUGUUACCAACGCUUUUACCACACCCUCCAGGCCUGACACUCCUACUUUGGAUAGGGAUAGGAUGAUUCCAUCGAGAUUCAGACGGUCUACCAACAUGAACAUCAGUGCCACAGCUGCGGCCAAGCUGUUGCAAUCAAGCGGCAUGUCGGCUCAACCUUCUGUUCCCGUAGAUGCUUCUUCGCUGACUGCCGAUGACAAUAAUCAGAAUCUACUUCGAAACUGCACGGCAACGGCACGGUCUCUUCCCGAUUUCCGCUCUUCCAUGCCUGAGGCAGACAUGUUGCCAACGGUUUCCACUAGAUUGCUGGCAGAAAAAAGUAGCACUAAGGGUAAUGCGACUGGCGGCAGCACCGAUUCUUUGAAAUUGUCUGCUUCCCCUUGCUCCCGUUCUCUGAAUUUGCCAUUAUCAGUUUGUGAAAAACAAGCCUGUGGUCUCCCCAAGCCACACACAAACUCUGUGAAGAUGGGGGGAUUCUCUCUGCCUCCAGUCCCGCCUUGCGCCAAGUUGGGGACCGAUACUAGGAAGGGAAAGAAAGUUUCCUCCCAUCAGGAAGAUGUUCACACACUCAGAUUGCUCCACAACCGUUAUCUGCAGUGGAGAUAUGCCAAUGCAAAAUCAGAGGCCUCCUUCCGAGCUCAGCAAAGAGAAAGCGAGAGAACCCUUCAUUCCCUUGGGGUCAAGAUAUCAGAGUUUCAUGAUUCUUUGAAGAGGAAACACAUAGAACUUGGGCUUUUGCAAAGAACAAAGACUCUAUCGACAAUCCUUGAAGCUCAAAUUCCAUAUUUGGCGGAGUGGUCUACUCUCGAAGAGGAUUAUUCAAUUUAUUUAUCAGAAGCAAUUCAAGCUCUGUUGAACGCCUCACUUCAACUUCCCAUUGUGAAUGUUAGGGCUGAUAUAGAAGAGGUAGGGGAGGCAUUGAACUCAGGGAUGAAGGUGAUGGAAAUUAUAGUUUUUCAUCUUCAAAGCUUCAUGCCAAAGAUUGGGAAGAAAGGGAAGGGGAUAAAUCCACACAACCAGAUUGAGCGGAAGAAACAGACAAUUUGAUUUCAGAACUUGCCAGAGUAAGUGGGGGAGAAAAAGCUCUUAUUGAAGAAUGUGGCGAUCUGUUGUCGAAGACAUGUACAUCGCAGGUGGAAGAGUUCAGUUUAAGGAGCCAGCUAGUACAAUUGCAUCAUUUCUGCCAUAUCUCCAAGAAUGAGUAAUUGUUCAUGACUGCAUUUUGUACGUGCUACCUACAUGAGUCAAAGUUCCACCCCAUGAGCUUGUUGGCGUCUGUAUAGCUCUUUUUUCCGGUUUUCUUGUUAUUGAGAGAAACAGAGAGAAGGGGGAAGGCAUGAAAGCUAUAAUUUGCUGUCUUCGUCUACACACUACGGCAGGCAGUUCAUCACCUUGACCUGCAAUUCUUUUGAGCUUUUAUAACUUUUUGUAAGACCUGAAAGUUAUAACUUCUACAGUUCUACACCACAAUUCUUUGAUGAGCAGUGUGAGCUCUAUGAUUUGUUUGUUCGAAAGAUGCAAGUUCUUGAAAAAGAACAACAAAGCCAGAAACAUAGCAAACCAGAGGUAACUUCCAAAUCAAGCAACAGGUUAAGCUGUUUGAGGCUGAAUUGAAGUGGGGAGGGGGAUUUGGAGGGGGGUAAAAAAUUAUUUCUGGAGAUGAAAUUUAAAUACAAUUUUAAAAUUCUAGUUCCGCACCUAUAAGUCAUGCUUAUAGCGGAUGAUUAGUUUAUUUGCAACUCCACAUUAGCAACUCCAUUAGUAGAAGACACGAUGCAUUAUUGGUUUAGCAUCGACAAUUACUUAUGCAUUUUGGGUUUCUAUGUAAAAUGGUUAA